GUAAAUCUCACUUUUUAACUUGUGGUUUUCUUUCUGGAUCAUAACUACCUGAGAGAGUAGGGUUCUGUGCUUCUCUAAGGAUGCAAUAUUUCUGUCAAUGGCCCAACAUUCCAAAAUCCAAGCAUCAUUUGAAUAUAAAAUAGUGUUCUAAAUUGUAACUGCCUUAGGAGUAGGUACUAAUUUCCAGACUUUGUUUUAUUUAGUUAAAAUGUCAGUCAAUCAGACAAGGGUUUUAUAUUAAAAGUGUUUCAGGUACUGGUGGUGGAAGAAUGACCAAGUUUUUGCUUGCAAGUCAUGAGCUUAUUUUGGUGAGAAAUAUUUAUCAAAAUAAAUGAAAGCAUUUAUGUGCAGAUGAUUUGGAGAAUUGAUAAGUGCUAUGAGGGAAACAAACAGUAAAAUAAUAGAAAUUGAUCUAAGUGGUCAUCAGGAGGGUCUUUCGGAAGGGUAGCAUUUGAAAAGGAAAUAGCCAUCAGAAGACCAUCAGAGCGAGACAAGAAUGCAAGGACGCUGGCGCUGCAGCUCACUAGGCUAAUCCUCUGCCUGUGGCACCGUCAUCCUGGGUUCUAGUUCCGGUUGGGGUGCCGGUUCUGUCCUGGUUGCGCCUCUUCCAGUCCAGCUCUCUGCUGUGGCCCGGGAAGGCAGUGGAAGAUGGCCCAAGUGCUUGAGCCCUGCACCCGCAUGGGAGACCAGGAGGAAGCACCUGGCUCCUGGGUUUGGAUUGGUGCAGUGUGCCGGCCAUGGUGGCCAUUUGGGGGGUGAACCAACGGAAGGAAGACCUUGCUCUCUGUCUCUCUCUAACUCUGCCUGUCAAAAAAAAAGUGCAAAGACAUAGCAACUGGGCUAUGAUAUGAUAUAUAUAUCAUACACACACACUUUCUCUAUAUAUAUACUUAUAUAUAGUAAUGAGUUUGGUUUACUGUAAGAGCAGUGAGGAGUUACUGGAGGGUUUCCACAUGCAGGUAGUGAGAUGUGGUUUAGUGUUUAGGAAUAUCACUCUAGCAGUGUGAAGAAUGGACUGUAGAAGAACAAGAUGGAGGCAGCAGGCUGACCCAGUGGCUUAGUUUAGGAUGUAGCAGUGGAGAUGGUGAACAGUGAUUCAAUGUCUGCUGUGUUGUGAAAGCUGAACCAGUGAGAUUCACGUGUGGUUUGGGUGUGAACUGGAAGUAAACAUGGAAAACUGUUAGCUUUUUGACCCAAGGAGCUGAGUGAAUUGUCAGACCGUUUUCUGAAAAUGGAGAAGUGAAGUUAAUGCUUGAUUAGGCCAAGUUCAGAGUGGUAAAUAGAUGUCUUAAGUGAAAGUGUUGAUUUGACUGCUGGAUGUCUAGUUCAAGGUGGAAAUCAAGCCUUGAGUUACAGAUUCGGGACUUAGCAGCCUAAAGAUGGCAUUUAAAUUAUUAGAAUGGAUAGGAUCACCUAGGGGGAGAGGGGAGAGGAAUGAAAAAAUGGGAAGGCUAAACACUAGCUCUGUGGUUUGCUGACAUUUAGAGAUCUAGCAACUGCAGAAAGGUUGUGAUGAUUGGAGGAAAUGCAGGCAGAUGUGGAGUUCCGGGAACGAGGAGAAGCAAGUCCUUCAAGAAGGACUUCCUGAUCAGCCCCCUCCAGUGCUGCUGUGUGCAGGUACAGGCAGAAGAUAUGGGGUGUCAGUAGUCUCUUCUGCCAGCAAGUAUGAUGGAAUAAGAAAAGGUGCUAGAAGAUCAAGCGUGUCUCCAAGAGAUCUAGACAUCUUCUGGUAUCAUCUUCCACAGACUUUUUGAAGUGCCCUUGUGAGUGUUGCUGAAAAGGAAUACAGUGAUCUGGACUCUACUGUAUUCAGUGAGUGAGGAAGAGUGACUGUGUGGUCGGCAGGUGAUCGCAACAAUGAAGGCAACAAGGGGUUAUGCUCAUGACUCCUGGGGCCACAGCUAGUGCAGGAGUUUUGCGGUAUUGAUGAUACAGGAGACACAUGCCUUUUAAGAAAGGAGGAAGAACUUCAGUUGUACACCUUUUCCGAGUGAGUACUGGAUGUUGUGGAUGUUGGG
Oryctolagus cuniculus (rabbit) is the source of this 2018-nucleotide non-coding RNA. NCBI's taxonomy places the organism in Eukaryota, Metazoa, Chordata, Mammalia, Lagomorpha, Leporidae. The record is from RefSeq and is a predicted model, not a curated record.